AGCUUUGCGCAGUGGCAGUAUCAUAGCCAAUGAGGUUUAUCCAAGGCGUGAUUAUUGCUAAUUGAGAACUAACUGCAGUUUCAGGGGCGCCUGGGUGGCUCAGUCGUUAAGCGUCUGCCUUUGGCUCAGGUCA
This 133-nucleotide small nuclear RNA is filed under the name Zalophus californianus (California sea lion). Its description in RNAcentral is "U4 spliceosomal RNA (ENSZCAG00015006868.1)". It matches the Rfam family "U4 spliceosomal RNA". From Rfam's summary of the family: U4 small nuclear RNA (U4 snRNA) is a component of the major U2-dependent spliceosome. Lineage: Eukaryota; Metazoa; Chordata; Mammalia; Carnivora; Otariidae. The record is from RNAcentral.